AGACGUGAGAAGACGUUCAUAUUCAUCUGCAGCCUUGACGAGCUGGAUGUUGAGUAGUAUUAUGUGGCAAAGAGCAGUGAUUACUACAGUAGCAGGGGAGGCGCUCACGUACCUGUGCGACCCGGGAUCAGCUUGAAUUGAACUACAGUGAGAGUGGAAAUGGGACACAGGCUGGGCGGGACACCGGGAGGAGAGACGACAGCCAGGGUGGCACGCUGACUGGAGGAGUGCCAAACCCUCUCAACCAGCAUGCGACAGGCGUGGACAGUAAUGCCUGUGUGAUUGGGUGAUGAUUUUAAUAAACACACACACGCUGAGGGGGCCACAGGUCAACAGUGUUUGGAUUCAUCAGCCGCACAGCCCGACAUUCGAGAACUGCCCUUGAAGGCUUUGAUGGUUCCUGCAGCUCUUUGAGACCCUGCAUUGAAAAACAAUGAAUGCACUGCUCGACGGACAGAAGGAUGUUUGCAAAGGUACAAGUUCUGAUUCUGAAAUAAUGAAUGUGUACAGUUGAAGUACAGCUCCACUCUGAUCCACUCUCUGGAUUUCACGAAAGCAGCAGUUUAAGAAGUUAGAGGUACCUCAUGAUUUAAUUGUAGAUUUAGAAACUUGUGUUGUACUUGGAUAAACAAAAAAGGUGGAGUUAUUCUACAAAAUAAAAUUAAAGAAACUCCACAUUUGUUGUCUGCUGAAUAUAUCAGAAUGCAAUAAAAUAAACCAC
Molecule: long non-coding RNA, 721 nt
Organism: Notolabrus celidotus (New Zealand spotty)
Lineage: Eukaryota; Metazoa; Chordata; Actinopteri; Labriformes; Labridae
Exons: 5
Source: RefSeq, a predicted model, not a curated record